UGGGGAAUAUUGCACAAUGGGCGGAAGCCUGAUGCAGCGACGCCGCGUGGGGGAUGAAGGCCUUCGGGUUGUAAACUCCUUUCGACAGGGACGAAGCUUUUGUGACGGUACCUGUAUAAGAAGCACCGGCUAACUACGUGCCAGCAGCCGCGGUAAUACGUAGGGUGCGAGCGUUGUCCGGAAUUACUGGGCGUAAAGAGCUCGUAGGUGGUUUGUCGCGUCGUCUGUGAAAUUCCGGGGCUUAACUCCGGGCGUGCAGGCGAUACGGGCUGACUUGAGUGCUGUAGGGGAGACUGGAAUUCCUGGUGUAGCGGUGACAUGCGCAGAUAUCAGGAGGAACACCGAUGGCGAAGGCAGGUCUCUGGGCAGUAACUGACGCUGAGGAGCGAAAGCAUGGGUAGCGAACAGG
RNAcentral lists this ribosomal RNA (409 nucleotides) under Actinomycetes bacterium. RNAcentral's name for it is "Actinobacteria bacterium partial 16S ribosomal RNA". It matches the Rfam family "Bacterial small subunit ribosomal RNA", at positions 355 to 776 of the family's 1533-position model. The record is from RNAcentral. Lineage: Bacteria; Bacillati; Actinomycetota; Actinomycetes.